AAUCGUCCACACAAGUGCAGACGGCAAGCUCCACCCAGUCUCCAUCUCCUCCAAUUAUGGUUGGCUCACCAACAAAUUCCUCAAUGUCCAAAAACACUAGCAGCCCAAGGACAACAAUUCAACCUCAAGACCUGCAAUAACAGUUCAUUUUCAAACCACCAAACACGUUAAAUCCUAGAAUAUGAAAAGGAAAAUAAACAACAGCCCGAUUCGCCAUCGUUUCAACCUCGUCGUGCGCGUUCGAGAAUCAACUUCGAAGUCUCUCCCCUGAAAAAAGUAAGAGACU
This 286-nucleotide long non-coding RNA is filed under the name Lathyrus oleraceus (garden pea). RNAcentral's name for it is "Pisum sativum (pea) long non-coding RNA (PSAT_LNC017529)". Lineage: Eukaryota; Viridiplantae; Streptophyta; Magnoliopsida; Fabales; Fabaceae. The record is from RNAcentral.